CUGACGUAAGAGGUACUUUUCAAAUAUUUACAAGAUACAUCAAUCUAGAUUUGGCAUUGAUAUUUCAUUACACCCAAAAAGAACUUAUACAACAUCAACCUAUCAAGUACAAAAUAUUUACCCCAAAAUCUUCUAGUCUUCCACUGCCUCAACCCAAUUUACAUAUUUUAGCGAGCGAUAAGCUAUCCUGAAAAAUUUAUAUAGCAACGGGGUGAGCAUAUAAAGCUCAGCAAAUGACUAACAUAUCCAUAGCAAAGAGGACAGGUUUCAAACAAAUAAGGUAUCAAAAUACAAAGCAGAGAUACAAGAUGAAACAGUAGCA
This 322-nucleotide long non-coding RNA is filed under the name Musa acuminata (dwarf banana). Its description in RNAcentral is "long non-coding RNA (MACU_LNC002021)". The record is from RNAcentral. Lineage: Eukaryota; Viridiplantae; Streptophyta; Magnoliopsida; Zingiberales; Musaceae.